CAAAGUGUAGCUUAAUUAAAGCAUUUCGCUUACACCGAAGUAAUAUCUGUUAAACCCAGAUCACUUUGA
Molecule: transfer RNA, 69 nt
Filed under: Discoglossus galganoi (Iberian painted frog)
Lineage: Eukaryota; Metazoa; Chordata; Amphibia; Anura; Alytidae
Description: tRNA-Val
Rfam family: tRNA
About the family: Transfer RNA (tRNA) molecules are approximately 80 nucleotides in length. Their secondary structure includes four short double-helical elements and three loops (D, anti-codon, and T loops). Further hydrogen bonds mediate the characteristic L-shaped molecular structure. tRNAs have two regions of fundamental functional importance: the anti-codon, which is responsible for specific mRNA codon recognition, and the 3' end, to which the tRNAs corresponding amino acid is attached (by aminoacyl-tRNA synthetases). tRNAs cope with the degeneracy of the genetic code in two manners: having more than one tRNA (with a specific anti-codon) for a particular amino acid; and 'wobble' base-pairing, i.e. permitting non-standard base-pairing at the 3rd anti-codon position.
Source: RNAcentral